This 254-nucleotide ribosomal RNA is filed under the name uncultured bacterium. Its description in RNAcentral is "partial 16S ribosomal RNA". It matches the Rfam family "Bacterial small subunit ribosomal RNA", at positions 524 to 776 of the family's 1533-position model. The record is from RNAcentral.
UACGUAGGGGGCAAGCGUUGUCCGGAUUUAUUGGGCGUAAAAGGCUUGUAGGUGGCCACGCCAAGUCGGAUGUGAAAUCUCCCGGCUCAACUGGGAGGGGUCAUUCGAUACUGGUGGGCUCGAGGCCGGUAGGGGGAAGUGGAAUUCCCGGUGUAGUGGUGGAAUGCGCAGAUAUCAGGAGGAACACCAAUAGCGAAGGCAGCUCGCUGGGACGUUACUGACACUGAGGCGCGAAAGCGUGGGGAGCGAACAGG